This 515-nucleotide ribosomal RNA is filed under the name Vibrio sp. 8Bf4S164. RNAcentral's name for it is "bacterial SSU rRNA". It matches the Rfam family "Bacterial small subunit ribosomal RNA", at positions 369 to 877 of the family's 1533-position model. Lineage: Bacteria; Pseudomonadati; Pseudomonadota; Gammaproteobacteria; Vibrionales; Vibrionaceae. The record is from RNAcentral.
CAAUGGGCGCAAGCCUGAUGCAGCCAUGCCGCGUGUGUGAAGAAGGCCUUAGGGUUGUAAAGCACUUUCAGUCAGGAGGAAAGGUUAGUAGUUAAUACCUGCUAGCUGUGACGUUACUGACAGAAGAAGCACCGGCUAACUCCGUGCCAGCAGCCGCGGUAAUACGGAGGGUGCGAGCGUUAAUCGGAAUUACUGGGCGUAAAGCGUACGCAGGCGGUUUGUUAAGCGAGAUGUGAAAGCCCCGGGCUUAACCUGGGAACUGCAUUUCGAACUGGCAAACUAGAGUGUGAUAGAGGGUGGUAGAAUUUCAGGUGUAGCGGUGAAAUGCGUAGAGAUCUGAAGGAAUACCGAUGGCGAAGGCAGCCACCUGGGUCAACACUGACGCUCAUGUACGAAAGCGUGGGGAGCAAACAGGAUUAGAUACCCUGGUAGUCCACGCCGUAAACGAUGUCUACUAGGGGGGGGGGUCUUCGGACAACUUUUCCAAAGCUAACGCAUUAAGUAGACCGCCUGGG